UGGGGAAUAUUGGACAAUGGGCGAAAGCCUGAUCCAGCAAUGCCGCGUGAGUGAUGAAGGCCUUAGGGUUGUAAAGCUCUUUUACCAGGGAUGAUAAUGACAGUACCUGGAGAAUAAGCUCCGGCUAACUCCGUGCCAGCAGCCGCGGUAAUACGGAGGGAGCUAGCGUUGUUCGGAAUUACUGGGCGUAAAGCGCACGUAGGCGGCUAUUCAAGUCGGGGGUGAAAGCCCGGGGCUCAACCCCGGAACUGCCCUCGAAACUAGAUAGCUAGAAUCUUGGAGAGGCGAGUGGAAUUCCGAGUGUAGAGGUGAAAUUCGUAGAUAUUCGGAAGAACACCAGUGGCGAAGGCGACUCGCUGGACAAGUAUUGACGCUGAGGUGCGAAAGCGUGGGGAGCAAACA
This 402-nucleotide ribosomal RNA is filed under the name uncultured Novosphingobium sp. RNAcentral's name for it is "bacterial SSU rRNA". It matches the Rfam family "Bacterial small subunit ribosomal RNA", at positions 355 to 774 of the family's 1533-position model. The record is from RNAcentral. Lineage: Bacteria; Pseudomonadati; Pseudomonadota; Alphaproteobacteria; Sphingomonadales; Sphingomonadaceae.